GGCGCUUCAGCGGCGAGUGCUGUUUCCGCCCCAGACCCGGUUCAAACGCUGCUGCCGACGCGCACUGUAUAGCUGCAUAAGCUGCUCGUAGGGCACGUCCAGCAUCUGGUCCAGGCCCACACCGCGAAAAAAAGGUUUACCACAGUGGCUCAAGGAAAACGGAACCAGAGUAAGACAGUUUCUACUUGGACUUGGGGAACCAGCAAACUCAUUCACUUACAAUCAAGAACAAACCGAUUAAAUUGAAUAAAGGUCACUCAAAGGAGCCAAGCCCCUUUGUCAAAUCAGGAGCUCCAUCAGCCAAUCAGGAACCCAGAUGCCAGCGUGGGAGUUUGUCAGUGGAAAUAACAUUGCAUGACUUCCAAGUCUGGGUAAGAAAAGGUGACAUAUCUAUCCCCGGCUUUCUUGGGACAGGUAGCUACCUUGAACUCUGGGCCUCCAUUCUGGAGCAGCUACUUAGACACAGAGGGAGAUGCCCAAGAAGUCCUAGGCUGCUCUAUCCUCCCACCUGUUUUAGUACCUACAUCAACAUGAAUGAAUAGACUUGAGAUAGUCUCAGCUUCCAGUCCCCAGUUCCUAGCCGGUAAUGAGUAGAGCGGAGACAAACUGUUAUACCAAUCCUUGUCCAAAUUGCAGAUUCGUGAGCAAAAUGUUGUUUUAAUUCACAGCAAUAGUUAUUGGGAAAAAUGACCAAUUUGUUUGUUUCUGUAUGUAUGAAUGUUUUGCUUAUCUGGAAUGUUCGUCAGUUAACUACAUGGGUACCAAACUUUGCUCAACUUGAAAACUAACUAUGUGUCUGAUAGUACUCCAAAAGUCAUUGUUAAACAGUUAGCACCCAGUAACAUUUUCCUACAAAUACAUGUUUAAUGAACCUUAGAUAUAAUGUAGAUUAGUCUUUAAAAAAAAAAAACAAGCUCAGAGGAGUCAUGUAACUUUCCUCACAUUUUACAGAAAAAUGAUACCAUUGGUUCAACUAGCUAUAUUUGCUUCCCUGAUGUUUUACAGAAUACUUACUAAAGAAUAUUCCCUUAGCAUAUUGUAGCUGCCUUCAUUAUUCCACCAUUAGACUGUGGUUUGAUUACUGCUCUAUUACCCACUCCUACUAGACUAUUCUCUUCUGGACAGCAGGCAUAUUUGUAUUAUUCAUUCCCGUAUACCUAGAAACUGGCAUGUCCUCAAUUAGUUAAAUGCCUCUUGAUAAAAGAUUAUUUGGAAUCUUUUUGGAUGGAUAUAGGUCAGUGGUUCUCAGUACAGAAAUACUUAGGUUAAGGCCACAGUCCUGCAGACUGAUUGAAUUGGCUUAGAGUGGAACCUAGGUCUCUGUGAAUUUUAAAAGCUCCUAAGCUAAGUCCCUUCAAGUAGCUCUGUUGUCAUGUGUAGCUACCAAUUGUGUUUCCACAGGUAGAUCAUGUCCCCAACACUGUUUCUACACAAAAGCAAUGACCUACAAAAGGUCUCUUGGAGGAUGAGUUUUGUUUUUUUUUUUUUAAUCUCCAUUCAUAACUCAUUGUCUGAUCAAUAGUUAUGGUAACUGGACAUUGGAAGGCAGGAACAGGAGAGGUGGCAAAAGUAGUAUCCAAUAUGAAGCAAAUUUUCCCACCACCACACAUCUAGGUUGGUUUGUUUUAACCUCCCAGAAGCUGACCUUUUGGCCAUCUAAGUACUCUAAGUAAACCAUGAUGCCUAAGGGAGCAGCUUGGCUUCUGAAAUACCACUUGAUCUAUAAAGUUUGGCCCUGGGGUUUUGUCUACCCUGGAAUCAGAUGCAGAAGAAAGGGAAAUAGAUAGUUACACUAUUUUAAUUUGAUCCUGAAAAAACACUGCAAUGGAGUCUGCCGAAGGCUGUGAACUAUGUUAACUUCCAAGAAAAAAA
Molecule: long non-coding RNA, 1872 nt
Organism: Homo sapiens (human)
Lineage: Eukaryota; Metazoa; Chordata; Mammalia; Primates; Hominidae
Source: Ensembl